GAUGAACGCUAGCGACAGGCUUAACACAUGCAAGUCGAGGGGCAACAGGGAGUGUGCUUGCACACUCUGCUGGCGACCGGCGCACGGGUGAGUAACACGUAUGCAACCUGCCCUUGUCAGGGGGAUAAGCGAGGGAAACCUCGUCUAAUACCGCAUAUAUGGUUUUGAGGCAUCUCAUAAUCAGGAAAGAAUUAUCGGACAAGGAUGGGCAUGCGGGACAUUAGGUAGUUGGGGGGCGUAACGGGACCACCAAGCCGACGAUGUCUAGGGGUUCUGAGAGGAAGGUCCCCCCANACUGGAACUGAGACACGGUCCAGACUCCUACGGGAGGCAGCAGUGAGGAAUA
This 346-nucleotide ribosomal RNA is filed under the name uncultured bacterium. RNAcentral describes it as "bacterial SSU rRNA". It matches the Rfam family "Bacterial small subunit ribosomal RNA", at positions 28 to 363 of the family's 1533-position model. The record is from RNAcentral.